UGCCAGCAGCCGCGGUAAGACGGAUGGGGCUAGCGUUGUUCGGAAUUACUGGGCGUAAAGGGCGCGUAGGCGGCCUGCUAAGCUAGACGUGAAAGCCCUGGGCUCAACCCAGGAAUAGCGUUUGAUACUGGCAGGCUAGAGUAUGGUAGAGGUAAGCGGAAUUCCUAGUGUAGAGGUGAAAUUCGUAGAUAUUAGGAAGAACACCAGAGGCGAAGGCGGCUUACUGGGCCAUUACUGACGCUGAGGCGCGAAAGCGUGGGGAGCAAACAGGAUUAGAUA
Molecule: ribosomal RNA, 279 nt
Filed under: uncultured bacterium
Lineage: Bacteria
Description: partial 16S ribosomal RNA
Rfam family: Bacterial small subunit ribosomal RNA
Source: RNAcentral